GUCUCAGUUGCACUCCUUCAUCCUCGCUUGGUGAGCUCAUCGAUCCCCUGGUCCACCAGAAGCUCCCACCCCCGAGACCUGAGUCUAACCUCUCCAGCUCCCCGUCUUUUGCCCCAAGAAUGGGUGCGUUUACUUGUGUGAUUUUUUUUUUUUUAGAUUUUUAUGUAUUUAUUUAUUUGAGAGAGAGAGAGAAAGCUCACAAGCAGGGGGAGAGGGAGAAGCAGACUCCCCCCUGAGCAGGGAGCCCGAUGCGGGGCUCAAUCCUAGGACCGUAGAAUCAUGACCUGAGCCGAAGGCAGAUGCUUCACAGACUGAGCCACCCAGGCGCCCCUGGAUGCAGUUUCUUGUAAUACCCGUUGUGCUGAGAACACCUGCACCCAGAGAUGGUGGUGAGGAAGGCAUGGUCCCUUCUUCCUGGGAAGCCAGGAGAAGUCUCCUGGGGGAGGUGAUGUGGCUGCCUCUGGCCUUGCUCUCAUGUCCCCUGUAUCCACGAGCUGGGGCCUGCAGCAACAAAGCACCACAGACUGAAUGGCUUAAACAACAGAAGGAAUUUUCCCCACCGCCCUGGAGGCUGGGAGUCCAAGAUCAAGGUGUCAGCAGAGUGGGUAUCUUCCUCUGUCCUUGGGGGUGUAGACACCAUCUCCUCGUGUGUCCUCACAUGGUCGUCCCUCUGUGUGUGCCUGUGUCCUGAUCUCUUUUUCAUCCCCCCUCCCUCUUUUUUCUUUCUUUCUUUCUCUUUCUUUCUUUCUUCCUUUCUUCCUUUCUUCCUUUCUCUUUUCUUUCUCUCUUUCUCUCUUCUUUCUUUCUUUCUUCCUUCCUCCCUUCCUUCCUUCCUUCCUUCCUUCUUUCUUCUCCCCUCCUCUCCUUUCCUAGUAGGCUCCAUGCCCAGCAUGGAGCCAAAUGCGGGACUUGAACUCACAACCCUGAGAUCCAGACCUGAGCUGAGAUCAAGAGUUUAACGCUCCACCGACCGAGCCACGCAGGCGCCCCUGGAUGUCUUCUUAAGAGGAUGCCAGUCCUACUGGAUUUGAGCUUGCUCCAUGACCUCGUUUCAACUGAAUUACCCCUUUAAAGGCCCUGUCUCCAAAUGUAGUCACAUUUGCAGGUACUGGUGUUAAGACUUCAACAUGUGAACGGAGCACAGGGCACUAUUCAGUCCCUGAUAUCCACCUUCUGCACUCUGAUCCGGGUCCCCGCUGGCCAACCUGGGCAUUAUCAGGGGACAGCCAGGGUCCCUUCUCCCAGGGAGCCUCCUGUCCAGGGACUUCACAACAUGAAGCUUACAGAGGAAGGGCCUCCCACAGGGAAGAGGGAGAGGGAGGGAGGGAAGCCUGGAUCCUAACGUGGACUUGCCCUGAUCGUGCUACUGACAAUUCCUUGAUUUUCAUAUUGUGCAUAGUUGUGGAGGAUGAUAACACUGGGGGGCACCCGGGGGGCUCAGUCGGUGAAGCGUCUGCCUUCGACGCAGGUCAUGAUCCCGGUUCCUGGGAUCGAGCUCCGAGUCAGCCUCCAUGUCUCAGUCUUAGCACUAUUGACAUUUUGAAUCAGACCGUUCUGGGAGGGUGGGGGGUGCGGGACAGGAUGUCCCACAGCAGCCCUGACCUCACUCCUUGGAUGCUAGUAGCAGCCAUCCACCCCAGCUGGGACAACUAAAAAUGUCCCCAGACAUUGCCACCUGUCCCCCGGAGGGC
RNAcentral lists this long non-coding RNA (1691 nucleotides) under Ursus maritimus (polar bear). RNAcentral describes it as "lncRNA (ENSUMAG00000010285.1)". Lineage: Eukaryota; Metazoa; Chordata; Mammalia; Carnivora; Ursidae. The record is from RNAcentral.